Molecule: ribosomal RNA, 414 nt
Filed under: uncultured bacterium
Lineage: Bacteria
Description: bacterial SSU rRNA
Rfam family: Bacterial small subunit ribosomal RNA
Source: RNAcentral
GGCUCCCGGGUGGAUUAGUGGCGAACGGGUGAGUAACACGUGAGCAAUCUGCCCUUGACUCUGGGAUAACGUGCGGGAAACUGUAGCUAAUACCGGAUAUGACACCUUGGGGCAUCCCAGGGUGUGGAAAGAAUUUCGGUCAAGGAUGAGCUCGCGGCCUAUCAGCUAGUUGGUGAGGUAAUGGCUCACCAAGGCGACGACGGGUAGCCGGCCUGAGAGGGUGACCGGCCACACUGGAACUGAGACACGGUCCAGACUCCUACGGGAGGCAGCAGUGGGAAUAUUGCACAAUGGGCGAAAGCCUGAUGCAGCAACGCCGCGUGAGGGAUGAAGGCCUUCGGGUUGUAAACCUCUUUUAGCAGGGAAGAAGCGAAAGUGACGGUACCUGCAGAAAAAGCACCGGCUAACUACGUG